This 92-nucleotide non-coding RNA is filed under the name Gordonia sputi. RNAcentral describes it as "Glycine sequence". It matches the Rfam family "Glycine riboswitch aptamer". Rfam says of the family: This family represents the bacterial glycine riboswitch. Glycine riboswitches usually consist of two metabolite-binding aptamers domains with similar structures in tandem. Lineage: Bacteria; Bacillati; Actinomycetota; Actinomycetes; Mycobacteriales; Gordoniaceae. The record is from RNAcentral.
CGCUGCAGUACGGGAGAGCGUCAUCUCGAAUGGCCGCCGAAGGAGCAACACCUCCUCGUCAAACUCUCAGGCACCCGGACCGUACUGUCGAC